This 1055-nucleotide long non-coding RNA is filed under the name Pan troglodytes (chimpanzee). RNAcentral's name for it is "long non-coding RNA NONPTRT003901". The record is from RNAcentral. Lineage: Eukaryota; Metazoa; Chordata; Mammalia; Primates; Hominidae.
CCAGACCUGAAUUACUAAGGUUUUGCCCAAAGGCAGGCCUAGCAAGUCCAGAAGCCUGAAGAAACCAGGUAAGAUUCAGAGAGCCCAGGAACUGACAUAUUUUAAGACUAGCCUAGUCUGAUCUUUAUAAAUAAUCCCCAAAAGCAGCCCUCUCCAUAACCCAUAACCAGGACCACUUUUCCUAGGCCAUCUCAAUCCAGAUAUCCUAGCUCAUCACUCCACAGAUUCAUUCUCCUCAAGAUUUGUUCCAAACAAUGGGGAACAGAUACUGAUUCUUUCAAUUAUGUGCCUUGGACAUUUUACCAAAAGCUCCUGCCAGGUUUUGCGGCUGCCUGAUCGUUAAGGAAUUAAGGAGAAUGAACAUAAUUCUCAAUAUAAAACCCUUUCAAUAUCUUUCUUGGUCUUCUUGCCCUCCCAUCUCACUGCUUCUGGAAACUUAAUCUGUUCUUUUCUUUCCCUUUUUCUAUCAGUGAUUCAGGGAUUGGAUGAGUCUCUAUGGUUUGUUUUGCCCUGAAGAGCAGAAGGCUUCUGUCCCAACUGGUGUUGCCAAAGCAACAUAUUAAUUCCAUGCCAUGAUCCUGGGUCAAGAUCUGCACAAUCUGAUUGGGCAUGUCACCUCGGAUGGCAAGGGAGUGGAAGUGGUCAAAAUCAUGGAGUCCUAGCUUUCGGAGACGCCUUGCAGCUGCCCGGUAACACUUCCAGGGUUGGGGCUCCACAAGGAGGUAGCGGCAGAGGGAGGAAAGAUGGGCCAGGAACUCCCAUAGGCCAUGGUCUCCAUGAUUCAGAUGAAUCCACAUGGUUAUUGACAUGCAGAAGCCAAUGUCAAAAACUGAACGUCCAAAUUGGCUUAAGAAAGAGCUCAAGAGAACCUUCCGGGUCCUUUGAUUCAUGAAGUCCAGGGUGAUAAAAGUCAAGGCAUCAGGAAAAGGACAUUCUUUUUCGGCUCGCUUCACCAGGACUGGAUCUAUGUCGCAGCAGAGGAGACGGAAUUCUCUUGAGGCAUCUGAGCAGGUCUCCCCGUCAGAUGCUGGACUGGAGUGAUGCAGGGAGCGCAG